Non-coding RNA from Cordylochernes scorpioides, 115 nucleotides. The record is from the annotation of a GenBank genome assembly. NCBI's taxonomy places the organism in Eukaryota, Metazoa, Arthropoda, Arachnida, Pseudoscorpiones, Chernetidae.
CAAACUAUAUCACUUUGAAUACAUAGGUUCUUGUUCGGUCACCGAAAUCAAGCAACGUCGGGCCCGGCCAGUAUUUGGGAGGGUGACUACCUGGGUACACCGGGUGCCGCAGGCA